GAUGGACGCUGGCGGCGUGCCUAAUACAUGCAAGUCGAGCGAAUGGAUUAAGAGCUUGCUCUUAUGAAGUUAGCGGCGGACGGGUGAGUAACACGUGGGUAACCUGCCCAUAAGACUGGGAUAACUCCGGGAAACCGGGGCUAAUACCGGAUAACAUUUUGAACCGCAUGGUUCGAACUUGAAAGGCGGCUUCGGCUGUCACUUAUGGGUGGACCCGCGUCGCAUUAGCUAGUUGGUGAGGUAACGGCUCACCAAGGCAACGAUGCGUAGCCGACCUGAGAGGGUGAUCGGCCAAACGGGGACUGAGACACGGCCCAGACUCCUACGGGAGGCAGCAGUAGGGAACCUUCCGCAAUGGACGAAAGUCUGACGGAGCAACGCCGCGUGAGUGAUGAAGGCUUUCGGGUCGUAAAACUCUGUUGUUAGGGAAGAACAAGUGCUAGUUGAAUAAGCUGGCACCUUGACGGUACCUAACCAGAAAGCCACGGCUAACUACGUGCCAGCAGCCGCCGUAA
RNAcentral lists this ribosomal RNA (515 nucleotides) under uncultured bacterium. RNAcentral's name for it is "partial 16S ribosomal RNA". It matches the Rfam family "Bacterial small subunit ribosomal RNA", at positions 28 to 523 of the family's 1533-position model. The record is from RNAcentral.